This 84-nucleotide transfer RNA is filed under the name Chloroflexota bacterium. RNAcentral describes it as "Chloroflexi bacterium (groundwater metagenome) tRNA-Ser". It matches the Rfam family "tRNA". From Rfam's summary of the family: Transfer RNA (tRNA) molecules are approximately 80 nucleotides in length. Their secondary structure includes four short double-helical elements and three loops (D, anti-codon, and T loops). Lineage: Bacteria; Bacillati; Chloroflexota. The record is from RNAcentral.
GGAGGGAUGGCAGAGCGGCCGAUUGCACCCGUCUUGAAAACGGGAGACCGACAAGGUCCGGGGGUUCGAAUCCCUCUCCCUCCG